AGAAACCCCUUCAUCCUCCAGUCAAUGAUCCCAUGGGGUCCCAACAAGGGGAGAGUCCACGGUGACAAACCACGGUGCUGCCAAUGUCCCCGAGGAGCCUUGGGAAGGGAGGAAAUCAAAAGCGCUUCCAGGCAGCACUCAGCCAGCAGGGAUCCUCUAUCCUACUGGGAGGUGGGAAAGUGUGAAACUUCGGUGCGCCCGGGAUGGGAUAAGACAUGGGGAAAAAAACCACGUGGCAACACAUGGAACGGCUCCAGAAAUGGCUCCAGAAAUGGCUCCAGAAGUGGCGUAACACAUCGCGGCGCCGGGACAAGAGCGGGAUGGAGUGGGAGCCCGGCCCGAAGGCAGCUGUCUCAGAUCCAUCGCUCCUCCGUGGGCCAUCCAGGACAGGUCUGCAGCUCCCGCAGCCCCUCCCGGCUCAGUCACACAUCUGAAGCCGACCCCAAAACACAACCCAGAAGGAUCUGACACAAAGUUGGGAACCCGCCAAGAAAUUCCUCCUGGAAAGCAGUCGAUCAGUGGGGUCUCUGCCUGGCGAACCCCUGUCGGUAACGGUGAAUUACAAGCAAGCUCUGGGUUGAAAUGAGGCAGAAUAAAUCUAAUCAUAUUUUUAUGAGCCCCUUUUCCUCCCGCGCGGGCUGAGCUCUGAGCACACGCUGU
This is a long non-coding RNA of Gallus gallus (chicken), 660 nucleotides long. NCBI's taxonomy places the organism in Eukaryota, Metazoa, Chordata, Aves, Galliformes, Phasianidae. The record is from Ensembl.